GUCUCUGUAGUUUAACGGAUAGAACACUGGCCUCCGAAGCCGGCAAUACCAGUUCGAUUCUGGUCAGAGGCACCA
This 75-nucleotide transfer RNA is filed under the name bacterium. Its description in RNAcentral is "tRNA-Arg". It matches the Rfam family "tRNA". From Rfam's summary of the family: Transfer RNA (tRNA) molecules are approximately 80 nucleotides in length. Their secondary structure includes four short double-helical elements and three loops (D, anti-codon, and T loops). RNAcentral also lists the same sequence under 2 other names. The record is from RNAcentral.